This 601-nucleotide ribosomal RNA is filed under the name Staphylococcus epidermidis. RNAcentral's name for it is "partial 23S ribosomal RNA". It matches the Rfam family "Bacterial large subunit ribosomal RNA", at positions 1 to 612 of the family's 2925-position model. The record is from RNAcentral. Lineage: Bacteria; Bacillati; Bacillota; Bacilli; Caryophanales; Staphylococcaceae.
GGUUAAGUUAAUAAGGGCGCACGGUGGAUGCCUUGGCACUAGGAGCCGAAGAAGGACGUGACAAACGACGAUAUGCCUUGGGUAGCUGUAAGUAAGCGAUGAUCCAGGGAUUUCCGAAUGGGGGAACCCAACAGGUACUACCUGUUACCCGCAUCUGUUAAGGAUGUGAGGAGGAAGACGCAGUGAACUGAAACAUCUAAGUAGCUGCAGGAAGAGAAAGCAAAAGCGAUUGCCUUAGUAGCGGCGAGCGAAACGGCAGAAGGGCAAACCGAAGAGUUUACUCUUCGGGGUUGUAGGACUGCAAUGUGGACUCAAAGAUUAUAGAAGAAUGAUUUGGGAAGAUCAGCCAAAGAGAGUAAUAGCCUCGUAUUUAAAAUAGUCUUUGUACCUAGCAGUAUCCUGAGUACGGCGGGACACGAGAAAUCCCGUCGGAAUCUGGGAGGACCAUCUCCCAACCCUAAAUACUCCCUAGUGACCGAUAGUGAACCAGUACCGUGAGGGAAAGGUGAAAAGCACCCCGGGAGGGGAGUGAAAUAGAACCUGAAACCGUGUGCCUACAACAAGUUCGAGCCCGUUAAUGGGUGAGAGCGUGCCUUUUGUA